GACGAGCCACACAAACGUUAUUCGGAAUUACUGGGCUUAAAGGGUGCGUAGGCGGUGCGGAAAGUUGGGUGUGAAAUCCCUCGGCUCAACCGAGGAAUUGCGCUCAAAACUACCGUGCUAGGGGGAGAUAGAGGAGUGCGGAACUUAGGGUGGAGCGGUGAAAUGCGUUGAUAUCCUAGGGAACACCGGUGGCGAAAGCGGCACUCUGGAUCUCAUCUGACGCUGAUGCACGAAAGCUAGGGGAGCAAACAGG
Molecule: ribosomal RNA, 253 nt
Filed under: uncultured bacterium
Lineage: Bacteria
Description: partial 16S ribosomal RNA
Rfam family: Bacterial small subunit ribosomal RNA
Source: RNAcentral